GUCUUUUAGAGUUGUAUUUAAAGUCUGACCUGCCCACUGAUUUUAUUUAAAUGGCCGCAGUAUUCUAACUGUGCAAAGGUAGCAUAAUCAUUAGUCUUUUAAUUGAAGGCUGGUAUGAAUGGUUGGACGAAGUAUAAGCUGUUUCAUAUAAAUUUUUAUUAGAAUUUUAUUUUUUAGUUAAAAAGCUAAAAUAAAAUUAAAAGACGAGAAGACCCUAUAAAUCUUUAUAUUUAAUUAUAUUUAAUUUUAUUAUUGAUUAAUUUUAUUUUUAUAUUUUUAAUUAUUUUGUUGGGGUGAUAUUAAAAUUUAAUGAACUUUUAAUUUUUUUUUAUCAUUAAUUUAUGAAUUAUUGAUCCUUUAUUAGUGAUUAUUAGAUUAAGUUACUUUAGGGAUAACAGCGUAAUUUUUUUUGAGAGUUCAUAUCGACAAAAAAGUUUGCGACCUCGAUGUUGGAUUAAGAAAUAUUUUUAGGUGUAGCUGUUUAAAUGUUAAGUCUGUUCGACUUUUAAAUUCUUACAU
This 519-nucleotide ribosomal RNA is filed under the name Carpophthoromyia dimidiata. RNAcentral describes it as "partial 16S ribosomal RNA". The stretch from base 391 to 519 matches the Rfam family "Bacterial large subunit ribosomal RNA", at positions 2473 to 2601 of the family's 2925-position model. The record is from RNAcentral. Lineage: Eukaryota; Metazoa; Arthropoda; Insecta; Diptera; Tephritidae.